CCUACGGGUGGCUGCAGUGAGGAAUAUUGGUCAAUGGGCGUGAGCCUGAACCAGCCAAGUCGCGUGAGGGAAGACGGUUCUAUGGAUUGUAAACCUCUUUUAUCAGGGAGUAAGGAGCGCCACGUGUGGUGUGUCGAGUGUACUUUAUGAAUAAGGAUCGGCUAACUCCGUGCCAGCAGCCGCGGUAAUACGGAGGGAGCAAGCGUUGUCCGGAAUUAUUGGGGGUAAAGGGCGCGUAGGUGGGUUCUUAAGUCAGUGGUGAAAACUCAGGGCCCAAACUCGAGCCCGCAAUUGAAACUGGGGAUCUUGAGGGGAAGAGAGGAAAGCGGAAUGCGUAGUGUAGCGGUGAAAUGCGUAGAUAUCAGGAAGAACACCAGUGGCGAAGGCGACAUGCUGGACUGCAACUGACGCUGAAGCACGAAAGCGUGGGUAGCGAACAGGAUUAGAUACCCUAGUAGUC
Molecule: ribosomal RNA, 460 nt
Filed under: uncultured bacterium
Lineage: Bacteria
Description: partial 16S ribosomal RNA
Rfam family: Bacterial small subunit ribosomal RNA
Source: RNAcentral